UACGGAGGGGACUAGCGUUGUUCGGAAUUACUGGGCGUAAAGCGCACGUAGGCGGAUUUGUAAGUCAGGGGUGAAAUCCCGGGGCUCAACCUCGGAACUGCCUUUGAUACUGCAAAUCUCGAGUCCGGAAGAGGUGAGUGGAAUUCCUAGUGUAGAGGUGAAAUUCGUAGAUAUUAGGAAGAACACCAGUGGCGAAGGCGGCUCACUGGUCCGGUACUGACACUGAGGAGCGAAAGCGUGGGGAGCGAUCCGG
This 253-nucleotide ribosomal RNA is filed under the name uncultured bacterium. Its description in RNAcentral is "partial 16S ribosomal RNA". It matches the Rfam family "Bacterial small subunit ribosomal RNA", at positions 524 to 776 of the family's 1533-position model. The record is from RNAcentral.